This 5471-nucleotide long non-coding RNA is filed under the name Fragaria vesca (wild strawberry). RNAcentral describes it as "long non-coding RNA (FVES_LNC003850)". The record is from RNAcentral. Lineage: Eukaryota; Viridiplantae; Streptophyta; Magnoliopsida; Rosales; Rosaceae.
GAGAUAUGAGCGUUUUCAUGUGAUAAGUGACGAUGGAUUAUGGUUGACUAUUUCGAUCGAGCCCUUAACGUUGUCGGAUCCUGUUGAAUUUUUUACCAUAGACAUCUUUCGUCAUAAUGAUCAUAUCUAACGGUCGAAUUUUUGUUUGUGAAUUUUAGUCAUCAGAAUCACAACGUGUCUACUUAUGUUAUAUAACUUGUUUAGUAGGUUAUACAACUUUGUAAACCAACUCUACAUAGGAAGCAAAAUUAUCAAAAAUGGCGAAAUACGGCUAUGGUUCAAAAAUCACGUAAAUCGGGUAACGUCUCGGUGCCGAUAGUAGCGGUCAACCCUAUUUACCGUUAUUAUUCCCUAUGGGAAGCCUUAUCGUCGGAAGGUAAGUGUUUCAAAAUUUUUAUAUAGGCGGUUGCGUCUCAUCUACGUGAAAGUUUUUCGUGUGGAAGGUUUGACCAAACUACGUAAUAUAGAGGAGAUAUGAGCGUUUUCGUGAAUUUAUAGACUUUAGCCGACGAGAUAUUAAAAAAAGUCGUCGGCUAAGGUCAAAUUUUUAUUUGGCAAACCAAAUUUGGGGGAAAAUUUUCAAAAUUUUCAAAGGACUUAAUCCGACGAAAAUAUAUAAUUUCGUCGGCUAUUGUCAAAAAAAUUUUAAGCAGUCAACCAAAAUUUUCAAAAGAGUUUAGCCGACGAAAAUAAAGAAUUUCAUCGGGUAAAAUUCUUUAUGUAGGAGUUUUACCGGAGGUGGAUGGUAAGAAGUCCGAAAAUCAGAAAAAGUUACUGUUUCGCCUGCCGGAUUUUCUUCUCGGCCUAGCUUCGCCGUCAAGCCACCGGAGACCGCCACACUUGUCCCAAAAGCUUCGCCGUCGUCUCUACUUCAUUGCUGGACAGGUGGUGCAUCGAGUGGCGCCGCCGUGAGGGAUAAAUCUUGCUUCAAAACUCUGCCGGUUCGGAUUCGGUGUCGAUCGAAUUUCUCCUUCCUCAGGUCACCAUUUGGUGAGUUCUAUAUAUGGAUAAGUUGAGUUUGAUUAGUACUAAUUCCCCUAGAAUUUGAUAGCCCAAUUCAGUGUGUGUGAGGAGAAUCGAAGAUUUGAAGUUUUUAGGGUUUAAAAUUGGGGAUUUUUAUAUUUUGAUUCAAUUGACUUGUUUAGGCUUAGAAUUGAGCUUCGACUUCUUCUAGAAAGUUGUUCGAAAUGUUGAGAGGAAGAUUUUGUCAAAUUUUGGUGGUGAUUGGAGGUGGCCGAAAGUUUCUGCAGUUUUUUUUUUCAAAAACUAGCAACUUUAGCCGACGAUAUUUAAAUACUUUAGCCGAAGAUAUUCAUCGGGUAUAGUAUUUUUUAAAUUUUUUAUAAGGUUUAGCCGACGAAUUAUGGCAUGUUUCGUCGGCUAAACACUUCUAAAGCUGAUGAAACAGACUAUAUUUCGUCGGCUAUAGUUAUUUUUUUAAUUUUUUAUUACAUACUUUAGCCGACGAAUAUCGUCGGCUAAAGUCUCAUACUAUGGUCGACGAAACAUUUAAGAUAUUCGUCGGCUAUUGUCCCAGAUAAUAACCGACGACGUCUUCUAGUGUCAUCGGCUAAAGUCAUCGCCGACGACCCUUUUCCGACGAACCUAUAGCCAACGAAGGCUCGUCGGCUAAGAUCUUAGCCGACGAAUUAAACUAACAAGCCUAAAGUGCUUGUCCUAGUAGUGUAUCCAUAAUCCAUUCAAACUUGUUAUUCCAUAAUUGAUAUAAUAUAAAAUGAAUAGAAAAUUUACUUCUCAUCUUCAAGAGUCCAUCUCAUCAUCAACUAGCUCGAUCUCUAGCAUAGUAACACCUAAUAGACAAGAAGAUGAACUAAUAUAAUUAUCAUAUUCAUAAUCUAUCCAAUCCAUAAUUGAUCUAAUAUAAAAUGAAUAUAAAAUUUACCUUUUUUAUUAUUUUAUUUUUUUUAAGUCUGAAACGCUGACGUGACGUGUCGUAAUGCCAUGUCGGGGCCGGUCAACGUGUCCGAAAAGUUAACUUUUUUGGACACGCCACGUGGGGUGUCGGACACGUAUUUUGCCGUGUCGGCGUGUCGGAGUGUCUGUGCAACAUAGCAAAGAGAUUAUUUGGGUGUAAAUGAAAGAUGAUGACGAAGAUUACUUUUAGGACUUGAUUCGUUCGCAAAUUUGAGAGCUUUCAAAAACAAAAAACAAAAACCAGUUUUACAGACGAAGGCAAAAGCAAAGAGUGUGCACUACUGCAUGCUGAUUUAGGUUAACGAAUCAAGAUGCACAAUCACCCUUAAGUACUACUGUUACUGGUUUGAUUAAGAUACAACUAAUUAAGAUGCACAAUAAUCACCAGGCCUAUCUAAGUGUUUCAUCAACUUUCUUCUAACAGUUAGGUUAAGAAGCAAAAAGACCAUAAUUCGGUCAUAAAGGAAGUAAAUAAGUAUAUGGUAUCAACUUGCUAUUUUAGAUGUACGUUGGUAUGAAACUACUCCUACAGUCCUACCACUGUCAGCUCUUGUUGCUGGGUUUGUAUGACCCCAUCAUAAAUAUAUAAAAGCUUCUCGUCUUUCUCUCCAGAAAAGAAAAAAAAAAUUGCUAGGAAUGACUGCAUAUAUAAAGUGAUGAUAGAUAGGACUGGAAAACUAGGGCUCUAUCUUCAUCACUCAUGACCAAACCCCCAGACGACCCGAUUCGGAUGGAAAUCAGAGAGCCGUGCAAACUCAGUUUUGAAGCUCUAUAUGGUUGUCUUUGACAAAUAUAUAUACCAACUACGUACGGUACUGCUGUAUUAUGUGAUUUAUGUCUGUCAUUGUUCAAAUUCAACUAGUACUACACCCAAACAUGGUCCUGUAAAUCAAAAAUUCUUCCAUUCACCUAUUUCUAGCCGAAUCAUAAAGGGAAAUAAUUCACCUUUCUUCUAGAAAUAAUUGACUGUAAAUAUGGAGACGUACAUGAGAAAUUUAUAAGAAUUUGAACAAUGUUUAUUGUAAAGAUCCUCAAACAAUUAAGACAGCAAAGUAUGCAAUCCAUCCUCACAAUACAAGUCCUACCGAAAUUUGGAAACCCCCAACCUGAAGGCUAAUUCGAUCUGGAGGGAGCUCAGCAUUUCUUUCUAUCCAUAAUUACUUCUCUACUUGUCUGCUACUACUAACUUCGAACCCUAUCAAAUCUCUUGCUCUGGACCUCCAAAGUUUGAACCCAGAAAUCAAGUAGAAUCAUUUAUUUCUUAUUGUCUUCAGGGUAAUAUACUGCAAUACCACAAGAUCUGCGUAUUAUUGAUGUAUAUAAACAAGUAGUGCCAUUAAUCUCACAAUCCCUCCCGUAAAGUCUCACUGCCUGCCAAAAAGAGAAACAAUUCAUUCAAAAUUUCAUGUUAUUUCAUGACUUGCUAGUUUUUACCAGACAAUGUAAAUCUUAAAUUCUCAUGUUCAUUUCUUCUUCAUUGCCAAGAGUUCCAAUUCAUAUAUACAGCAAGAAUUACAUUAACAAAUUGAGACGUUGCUCCAAGCCUUAGCUAAACUGCAUUGAGACGUUCCAACUUGUCAUAUAUAAAGUUCCCAUUUCCCAUUCGGAAGUGUUGAGGUAUUGAAUUUGUAGUCCAUUCCUCUUUAUACAGUUUGGGUCAAUCUAACUUAUUUAAUGUACGUAAAAGUUGUUUCAGUUGUUAACAGAAGUUUCUAAACUUACCUCAUAGAAUUUUUUCAUAUAUCUCUCGCAGUUUUCAUUUGGAAACUUGAUGUAAGUUGUAUCAUCGGCUUCUUCCAUUGGAUUUGGACGACGACUAAUCUUGGACCCAGGAAAUUUCCUCACAAGUUCAUCCUGACGUUCACUAGGAGUAGGAGUACCUUCUUUUUUUUUGGAAUUAAAAAUACCUAACGAAACAUAUUAAGUACGUUUACGUAAAAAUAACAAAAAUUAAAAAAUAAAAGAAGAAGAAGAAGAAGAUUGACCUUAACCUUACAAAGAAGGCAUGCAAGAAACUAAUACAACCGGUACCACUUAGACAAUGCAAAAAUGUGUCAUACAUAAAAUACAAGUAUAUAAUUUCCUUAUAAAAAAACAAAAAACAAAAAAUGCAUAUCUUAGCAGCUCUGCGUGAAGAAGACAACCAAAAAAAAAACCUAAAUGACGAUAAGAGAUCUGGUACAAUAAUAAUUAUUUCGAGCCACAUAUCCAGACAUUCACACACACACAUAUAUAUAUGAAAUUAACAAAGUACGUACAUAAGAGUAUAGAAUAAGAAACUCACUUACUCUUUAGUUUGCGUUGUGGUGGUGGUUUUGGUUUUGGUUGGGAUUCUGGUUGUGGUUGUGAGUCUGGUUGCGGUGGUGGUUUUGAUUGGGAUGUUGGUUGUGGUUGUGGUUUUUCGGCAAACAAAUCACUAAACAUGGAGAACAAACCGGAUUCUGCAAAAGUUAAAAGUAAAACACAAUCAAUUUGGUUCAUCGAAUCGGUUAAACUCUUACGAUUAAAACUCAAAACUGAAAAUCCUGGAGUUUAAAAAAUAAAUAAAUAAUAAUAACCUUCCGGAUUUGAUUGAGCCAUGAAAUUCCCGGUGGAGAAGGACAGGACUCACAGGAGGAGCAGCUGAUCGAAUAGGGUUUUAUUUUCUUGUUGUCCAAGCUUAUACAUAUGAUGGGAGAGCCAGAUGAACAACAUAGGCCAUCCGGGACGUAUUAAUAUAAAGCCUUAACUUUUUUUUUUGAAAGUAUAUAAAGCCUUAACUUAUGGGCCACGGAAUUGCAUUGGGCUAGGCCUGGUUACUUUGGGGUUAACGAAUCACGAUGCACUGUCACCCUUAAGUACUACUUCAAUUACUGUUUGAUUAAGAUACAACUAAGAUGCACAAUUGCCCGAUCUAAUUAUGCAAGUGUAUUGUACCUUAAAAAAAAAAAAAAAAAAAAUCUAAGUGUUUCAUCAACUUUCUUCUAACAGUUAGGUUAAGAAGCACAUAGACCUUAAUUUGGUUAUAGAGGAAGUAAAAAUUUAGUCUAAUUAUAUAUUCAAGUCACUGGGACUGACUGCAUAAAGUGAUCAUGAUAGAUGGGACUGGAAAACUUGAGCUAGGACUGGAAAACUUGAGCUAGGGUUCUGUCGUCAUCACUCAACAACCCCCCAAAUGACCCGAUUCGGAUGGAAUAUCAGAGACCAAAAGAUGCUUUUGAAAACCAGAAUGUGUUCCAUGCACAUUGCUUUUGCACUUGCCAAAAGUGCGACAAGGUUCAAUGUGUCACACAGAUUAUAGUGGCCUGUCAUUUUGGUUGGUACGCGUACUAAGUAAGUGUGAUUUUGGAUAAAAUUGAAGUGGCUUUUCUAAAUGGAUGUGAGACUCGUGACCUUAACCACCCAAUAAUGGCUAAAAGUUAGGCAUUUUUGAUAGUAUUUUGCCAAUAAGGCUUUUGAACAAUCAUAGGUUCUGGGAAAGUGUUGGAGAUGCAUGGUACGUAGUUGAUAGUGUUUUGCCAAUAAGGCUUUUGAACAAUCAUAGUUUCUGGGAAAGU